Molecule: ribosomal RNA, 895 nt
Filed under: uncultured bacterium
Lineage: Bacteria
Description: bacterial SSU rRNA
Rfam family: Bacterial small subunit ribosomal RNA
Source: RNAcentral
AGAGUUUGAUCCUGGCUCAGAACGAACGCUGGCGGCGUGCUUAACACAUGCAAGUCGAACGAGAACGGUUUCUUCGGAGGACCUAUUAAAGUGGCGCACGGGUGAGUAACACGUAGAUAAUCUACCCAGGUGUUUGGAAUAACUGACCGAAAGGUUAGCUAAUACCGAAUACGUUCACAUCAUCGCAAGGUGGCGUGAAGAAAGAUGGCCUCUCCUUGGAAGCUAUCGCAUUUGGAUGAGUUUGCGUACCAUUAGCUAGUUGGUGGGGUAAAGGCCUACCAAGGCUACGAUGGUUAGCGGGUCUGAGAGGAUGAUCCGCCACACUGGAACUGGAACACGGACCAGACUCCUACGGGAGGCAGCAGUGAGGAAUUUUGCGCAAUGGGGGAAACCCUGACGCAGCGACGCCGCGUGGACGAUGAAGGCCUUCGGGUUGUAAAGUCCUGUCAGUGGGGAAGAAAUGUGUAUGUGUUAAUAUCACAUACAUUUGACGGUACCCACAAAGGAAGCACCGGCUAACUCCGUGCCAGCAGCCGCGGUAAUACGAAGGGUGCAAGCGUUGUUCGGAUUUAUUGGGCGUAAAGCGCGCGCAGGCGGACUAUUAAGCCAGAUGUGAAAUCUCGGAGCUCAACUUCGAAACUGCGUCUGGAACUGGUAGUCUAGAGUCUUGGAGAGGAAAGUGGAAUUUCGCAUGUAGGGGUAAAAUCCGUAGAGAUGCGAAGGAACACCAGAGGCGAAGGCGACUUUCUAGACAAGAACUGACGCUGAGGCGCGAAAGCGUGGGGAGCAAACAGGAUUAGAUACCCUGGUAGUCCACGCCGUAAACUAUGUGCACUAGACCUGGGGAUGUUAACCGUAUCCGGGUCGUAGCUAACGCGAUAAGUGCACCGCCUGA